RNAcentral lists this long non-coding RNA (6009 nucleotides) under Nicotiana benthamiana. Its description in RNAcentral is "long non-coding RNA (NBEN_LNC033780)". The record is from RNAcentral. Lineage: Eukaryota; Viridiplantae; Streptophyta; Magnoliopsida; Solanales; Solanaceae.
ACCCAAUUCAUUUUAAUCAAUUAAAAUAACACAAUUUAAGUCUUUAACAUGAUUAUAUCUCAAAUAAACAAUGAAACAAUACAAUUUGCGUACAAAAAAACCAACAUUGUCCCAUAUCGAGGUGUCACCAGUCAUGGGCAUCUAAUAACCAAUUAAAAGCAGGAAGAAUCUACAUAGUCUAUUACAGAACUAAAACAAGAGAAAAUAAGAUAGGUGGAGAAGCACUAUGCUAUGAACGCCGAGCAGCUACCUAGUGAACUCCGAACCGUCUGAGCUAGGAGCAAUCAACACUCGCUAGCGGGACCCGAGGCUCCUGUAUCUGCACACAUGGUGCAAGGAGUAAUAUGAGUACUCUGAUUCAGUGAGUAAUAACAACAAUGAAGACUUGGCGAUAAGAAAUCAUAUAAAAAUACAACAACGUGCUAUAAAGAGAUAGAGUAAAACCAGUAAAGUGCAACAAAACAGUGAAAUCUCAUAAAAACACCUUAUUUCUGUUUAAGCUUCUUUAAAAUACCUUUUUAACAGUUAAACAACUAAAUGACAUGUAGCUAGAAAAGAUAAAAACAUAAAAACCACCCCUCUGCACAAUUCUAACAGAAUUUGCCCCUCGAGCAAUAACAUGUAACAACACCAGCCCCUCGGGCUAUAUCUCAUAUUACAAUGGGUAUCCGCGCUCAUUGGGGUGUACAGACUCUGGGAGGGGCCCCUUACGGCCAAAGCGCAAUAUCAAGCCAUCUCGUGGCAUAAUCAAUAGGCUUUCGACCUCAUAUCAACAAGCCACCUCGUGGCGUACAAUCUCAGGCCCUCGCCUCAUAAUAAUAAAUCAGUGUAUCACUGUUGCGGCAUGCAUCCCGACCCAAAAGUAUCCUCACAACACGGACCCUCGGCCUUGCUCAGUCAGAAAUUUUUAAAAGCCACUAGAACACAGUAAAAUAUGAUGCUCAAUCGAAAAUAUCAUUUAAAGUAUUAAAACAGAGUAAACAUGGUUGAGUUAUGAAAAUAAUAUAAUAUAGCAUGACUGAGUACAGAUGUAAAAUCAAAACAGAGAGGAUGUAGCAGUAAACAAAUUCCCUAAGGGCCCAAAUAUGGUAUUCAGCCCAAAACAUGAUGAUAGCAAACAGUUUUCAAUCAAAUAUGCAGUAAAACAAUCAUUCAGGAUGGACUAAGCCACAAUCCGCAACGGUCACGACCCCGCGCUCACCCUCUAGUGUGUGUGUCACCUCAAUAUAGCACAACGAUGUGAAAUCCGGGGUUUCAUACCCUCAGGAUAAUAUUUACAAUCAUUACUCACCUCAAUCCGGUCCAAACUCUAUCCUGUGAUGCCUUUGCCCCUCGAAUCGGCCUCAACUCGUGUCGAAUCUAUCAAAAAUCAUAAUCAUGACGUCAAAGUAUGCUAAGGGAACGAAGCCCAUGCGAAGGAAGUCUUUUAUACCUUAUGGCCCAGGAUUUUCGCACAUGCGAUCCAGAACUUUCUCCUGCGCAACCGCUUCUAUGGUCUGAGCACCAUUUCUACGAACACCACUUAAAUCCCAGGCGCCGAAUAUGCGAAGCAAAUCCCGUAUCGGCGCUAUCGCAGGUGCGCCACCUCAACCGCUCAUGUGGUUCUAGCUGAUGCCUUCCUUAGAUCCUUCCGCUUAUGCUACUAGUCUUCCGCAUCUGCGGGGGUCGCACUUGCAGCCUCCAAACCGUAGAUGCAGUUAUGACAGCAGACUUAGCUUCAGCUGCUACAUCCAACUUCCAAACUUUCCAUCAACCACCCAAAAUCACCCCGAGGCCCACGGAACCUCAGCCAAAAGCACAACCAAGUCCUAUUACACUAUUUAAACUAAUACCAAUAUUCAAAACACUUGAAACAACAUCGAAUCGACCAAAACACAUCAGAUUCAAGCCUAAGAUUCUCAAAAUCUUUCGAAUUACGCUUUUGAUCAAAAAGUCUACCAAACCACGUCCGAAUGACCCUAAAUUUUGCACACACAUCCCAAAUGACACCAUGGACCUAUUGCAACUCUCGAAAUUACAUUCCGACCCCUAAAUCAAAAUCUCACCUAUCAGCCAAAAAAUGCCAAAAUUUCAAUUUCGCCAAUUCAAGCCUAAAUCUACCCUAGACCUCCAAAACAUAUUCUGAUCACGCUUCAAUAUCCCAAAUCAUCUCCUGAAGCUAUCUGAACCAUCAAAAUUCAAAUUCGAGUCCUCUAAUACAUAAUUCAACAUUUGGUUGACUUUUCCAACUUAAGCUUUCUCAAAAGAGACUAAAUGUCUCAAACCUUACCAAAACCUUUUUGAACCAGAGCCAAACCAACACGGUAAAAAAAAUACAGGUGAAUAAGGAAUUUAGAAUAGAAAUGGGGGAAACCCGAGUGGUAAAUCAUGAAACGAGCAGACGACUCAUUACAUCCUCCCCACUUUAACAAACAUUCAUCCUCGAACGAGUCAAAAAAAAUACCUAAAGCCUCAAACAUGUGAGGAUAUCUGCUCCACAUCUUUUGCUCGGUCUCCCAAGUAGCUUCCUCCAAGGGCCGACCUCUUUAGUGCACUUUCACUGAAGCUAUAUCCUUUGAUCUCAACUUUCGAACUUGAUGCUCCAAAAUAGCUGAUGGCUCCACAUCUAACUGUUGUCACACCUCCUUUUUCAUUGUGCACCCCCGCAAAGGGCGUAAAGGAGUAUUUCCAAUUAAAGAACAACCGGAACGGGAUUUGGUUAUUAGUUAUUCAGAGUUGCCACUUGGGAGAUUAAUGGUAUCCCAAGUCACCGAUUGAAUCCCGAAAAGAGGAAAAAGAUGACUCUGUUCACAAUCUGCGAACCAGAAAUCCGGAUAAGGAAUUCUAUUAACCCGGGAGAAGGUGUUAGGCAUUCCCAGGUUCCAUGGUUCUAGCACGGUCGCUCAACUAAUGCAUUUAGCUUUUAUCUGAUUUUAUUACAUAAAGAGCCUAUGUGUCGAUUUUUCUUUUUACCGCUUUUAUUUGGUAUAUUUAUUUGAGGAAGUGAACAUCGUUUAAAAUGUGUUUUCGGAUUGCGCCGCAUAAAAUGAACCUGUAAUCCUAGACACACUCUAUUCAAUAUUUUAGGAUUUGGAUUUGGGCCACAUAAAAUGCCCGCCCGUAUUUAGGAAUAUAAUUUAUUAAAGUUGCGCCUAAUAGAGUCUAAUGCGUUGUAAUAUUUUGGGAGAGCCGUGAAAUUCGCUAAACGGCCCUUCCGAUUUUCUAAAUAUUUUUAAAACUUUUAUUGGGGGUCCCGCAAUUUUGCAUUUUUAUUGGGCGAGGCUCGUCCCAUUUUUAUUUUAAAGGGCACACCUAAGAGCAACUAUGUUUUCUAUUUUGUUUUUGUCUCUAAUAAUAAAAGAAAUAUCCUAAUUUAUUAUAUUUAAAAUCCGGGUAUUAAAUUCAAGUCCGGGUCCAAAUAAAAGGAUAAACUUUUUAGCUUAAAACUCGCUACCUAACUCAAAACUCGAAUUCCAAAUACCAAUAAAGUCAUUUGAAGAAAAUAUGAACUGGGCCCAAAUGACUGGCCCCAUGAGACGGUCGACGGUCAGCCCCAAAUCAUGGAGUCGAUUCCUGGGCUGGGCAGACCAGAAAAUUCUCCAACUGAAGCCCAAUGCAUUCGGCCUGUUGUGAUGAAACUGGCCCAAACUGCCCACAUAUCAUCUUCAUUUAAACAAACAACUUCUAAGAACAAAUCAGGCUAUUCAAGCGUGUUUAAUAAUCUGUUAUCUUGGAAAACCGAAAUGCAUUUAAUUACCAGGUUUCAUUCAACACAAACAUCUAAUACAAGGCACCAAUUCGUAAUUCCUCAUUUGGUUCCUAUUGUUUCAAUAAAUCCCAAUCAACCAAACUUGUUACCAAAUACUUAUAUACUAAACUAUGACCAAAUGUAAUAUCACCAGUCCAAAACAAUUUCAGCAGUCCAUAACAAUUUCAGCAGUCCACAGUACACAUUCAAUCCAUAUCAGUUAGCAAUAAUCCUAAUUUAGCAAGUCAUAAUACAAUGUUCAAUCACUUUAAACCAAACAAUCACAUCAACUGAAUCUAAAUCUAGGAUGAAACUUCAUUUAACUCCAACUUAGAGGUUACACUAGGGGGUUUUUGAGACAUGUACCUGGAUAUGAAAUGAACAAAGAGAAUGAAGAGAGAGUCAGCCCCAGCAAAUGCAACAGUAGCGGCACAAACAACUUUCAACAAUAGCAAAUCGCCACCAGCCCCAACAGCUUAAUUCCACAACCCAGAAUUGAUUCGAAGAAAUCCUAGUAUUAAAAUAGACCAAACAAACAAAAAACAAACCUAGAAUAUCCUUGAAGCUUUCAAUAGACCACAAACUCAACUGGACUAGCUUGACUGAUCUCAAAUUCACUCAAAAAUGCCUAGACAGACAUCAAAUCUAAAUUAGACCCGAUUCUGAAAUCAUCAGAUGAUAAAACAGCCUAAAAUAGUCCCACUUAAACCCAAAUUCAGUCGAAAUCAAUCAAUCACACCUCUGAAAUUUCCUGCUUCUAAGUAUUGAUCUAGGAACUCCUAUAUUAGAUCGUGAACUACAUAAAUGAAAGCCAACAUACACCAAUAACUUGAAAUUAAACUGAAAUACUAAUGGAACAGUAACCUUUUUUUUCUUUUUUAUCAGAUCUUCUAUUGCUUUUGAUUUUGCAGUUUUCUGGGAUUUUCUAUUGUUUUUUUUUUUGGAUUUUUCUUUUUUUGAUUUGAACUUAAAAGACUGAAUCUGAAACUAAAAAAAUGAAGGAAAGAGUUUUUAUGUGUGAUUAUUAGGGCUGAAGAGUUCCCCUUUGUUAAAGUACUAUUCAAUGCUUUUUAUAGGUAAAAUAUAGGGAAACCUCAGAUUUUUAAUUUGCACUUUCAUCCCCUGCUUAUUUACAGCUUGGUCCCUUAAUUUUUAAAUUGAUCACCAAGUAAAACUUUUAAAAACUAAAUCUGCAUUUAUACCCUACUGUAGAAGCCUCUAGGAUACUCUUUUAACCCCAAAAAUACUAUACUACUCUUAACCCUACCUUGCAAUUACUAUUUUUCAAGAUACUACCCUUUUCCCAUGCCCAAACUACCCUUCCAACAGUCUGAAAAUUACAGACUAAAGCUAACCGAACCCAAUCUCUCACCCUAGUUAUGAUUCAACUAAAGUUAACUAGAAUCAACUAUUCCCAAUCAAUCUAACCUACUAAUUAGCACUAACCAUGACUGAAAAUACACUAAUACUUAACUGAAGCUAAACCAAAACGAGUUUCAAAUUUAACUUAUAACAAACAGGGUAAAAUGAAAGUCUAAUUACCCCAACGACUAAUUAACACUUAACAAAUGAGCAUUCAAAUUAUUCCAUAAUCAAAAUUGAACCAGAAUGAAAAUCAAUCUAAAAUGAAUUAAACCUAAACAUGGAUAACAAAUCAAAGAAGAAGAAUUUAUGCUAAAAUUUGAUUGAAAAACUACAACUAUGCUUAAUUGAAUAAACAAAUUAAAUUAACUAAAAUAGGAACCAAAGGACAAACAUAUAGAAAACUUACUGCUAACCAAUCUUCAAAGAAAUUCUGAAAACAACUUUGAGUUAAUAUUAUAGGUCUAUUUCAUAAGCAAUAGACCUAUGACAUUAAUUCGGAGUUGCUCGUCCUGAAAAAUCAACAAAGCAGUCGACCAUGCACGAACCCUAGAUGUGGAAUUGAAGGCGACAUGGGGGGAUUCGAAGUAAAAUAACCCUAGACUCGAGGUGAGGAAGAUCAAUAGACCAUCUGGUAUCAAUUUGGGAUUGUUUGGACGAAUUUGUGCCUUGGCUGGAAUUUUCAAACAAAUGUUUGAGGAUACUGGGCUUGAUUCGAGGGAAACUGUUAGCAUAUAUGGAAAGGGAAGGUUAAGGAGAAUGAGGGGUGUAAUUUUGGUGGUGAUUGGAGGCGGUGCCGCCACUGGUGGGAGUGAGGAUUUUAGGGUGGCGUUCUAGGGUUCUUCAGGAGAGGGGUCUGUGAAGAAGACGAGUAUGGGGUUGGAGGGGCGCUCGGACACUACUAUGUACAUGAACCCAAG